RNAcentral lists this ribosomal RNA (429 nucleotides) under Acidobacteriota bacterium. RNAcentral describes it as "Acidobacteria bacterium partial 16S ribosomal RNA". It matches the Rfam family "Bacterial small subunit ribosomal RNA", at positions 355 to 776 of the family's 1533-position model. Lineage: Bacteria; Pseudomonadati; Acidobacteriota. The record is from RNAcentral.
UAGGGAAUCUUCCACAAUGGACGAAAGUCUGAUGGAGCAACGCCGCGUGAGUGAAGAAGGGUUUCGGCUCGUAAAACUCUGCUGUUAAAGAAGAACAUAUCUGAGAGUAACUGUUCAGGUAUUGACGGUAUUUAACCAGAAAGCCACGGCUAACUACGUGCCAGCAGCCGCGGUAAUACGUAGGUGGCAAGCGUUGUCCGGAUUUAUUGGGCGUAAAGCGAGCGCAGGCGGUUUUUUAAGUCUGAUGUGAAAGCCUUCGGCUCAACCGAAGAAGUGCAUCGGAAACUGGGAAACUUGAGUGCAGAAGAGGACAGUGGAACUCCAUGUGUAGCGGUGAAAUGCGUAGAUAUAUGGAAGAACACCAGUGGCGAAGGCGGCUGUCUGGUCUGUAACUGACGCUGAGGCUCGAAAGUAUGGGUAGCAAACAGG